UUGAAUGCUCGAUCAUGGAAUAAUAAAAGAGGACUUCGGUUCUAUUUGUUGGUUCAGGAACUGAAUUAAUGGUUAAGAGGGACAACUCGGGGGCAUUCGUAUCCCUGCGCGAGAGGUGAAAUUCGUGGACCGCAGGGGGACGCCCUAAAGCGAAAGCAUUUGCCAAGAAUGUCUUCAUUAAUCAAGAACGAAAGUCAGAGGUUCGAAGGCGAUUAGAUACCGCCCUAGUUCUGACCGUAAACUAUGCCAUCUAGCGAUCCAAUGGGGUAUUGUAGCCUUGUUGGGGAGCUUCCCGGAAACGAAAGUUUUCGGUUCCUGGGGUAGUAUGGUUGCAAAGCUGAAACUUAAAGAAAUUGACGGAAGGGCACCACCAGGAGUGGAGCCUGCGGCUUAAUUUGACUCAACACGGGAAAACUCACCCGGCCCGGACACCGUUAGGAUUGACAGAUUGAAAGCUCUUUCUCGAUUUGGUGGUUGGUGGUGCAUGGCCGUUCUUAGUUGGUGGAGCGAUUUGUCUGGUUUAUUCCGAUAACGAGCGAGACUCUAGCCUGCUAAAUAGUGUCCAGAUAUAUAAGUCUGGCUUACUUCUUAGAGGGAUAAGCGGUGUUUAGCCGCACGAGAUUGAGCGAUAACAGGUCUGUGAUGCCCUUAGAUGUUCGGGGCUGCACGCGCGCUACACUGGAAGAAUCAGCUGGUCCUUCCAUUGCCGAAAGGUAUUGGUAAACCGUUGAAACUCUUCCGUGACCGGGAUAGGGAAUUGUAAUUAUUUCCCUUGAACGAGGAAUUCCUAGUAAGUGUGAGUCAUCAGCUCACGUUGAUUACGUCCCUGCCCUUUGUACACACCGCCCGUCGCUGUCCGGGACUGAGCUGUUUCGAGAAGAGUGGAGACUGCUGUAUUGGGGCUUUCGGGCUCUGGUAUGAUGGAAACCAUUUUAAUCGCAAUGGCUUGAACCGGGCAAAAGUCGUAACAAGGUAUCUGUAGGUGAACCUGCAGAUG
Molecule: ribosomal RNA, 997 nt
Filed under: Heterorhabditis bacteriophora
Lineage: Eukaryota; Metazoa; Nematoda; Chromadorea; Rhabditida; Heterorhabditidae
Description: SSU rRNA
Rfam family: Eukaryotic small subunit ribosomal RNA
Source: RNAcentral